This 478-nucleotide small RNA is filed under the name Pongo abelii (Sumatran orangutan). RNAcentral's name for it is "processed transcript". Lineage: Eukaryota; Metazoa; Chordata; Mammalia; Primates; Hominidae. The record is from RNAcentral.
GGAAGCAGCCUAGGCUGCUGCGCAGAGGCGCGGCGGCUGGACGGCUGGGCCGUUGUCACCAUGCCGGUCGUCCGGAAGAUUUUCCGUCGCCGCCGGGGCGACUCGGAGUCAGAGGAAGAUGAGCAGGACUCAGAGGAGGUUCGUGCUGUGGCCUUGCUGGUGGGAGAGAAGGUACAAGAGGAGACCACUCUAGUGGAUGAUCCCUUUCAGAUGAAGACAGGGGGUAUGGUGGAUAUGAAGAAACUGAAGGAAAGGGGCAAAGAUAAGAUCAGUGAGGAGGAGGACCUGCACCUGGGGACAUCGUUUUCUGCAGAAACCAAUCGAAGGGAUGAGGAUGCAGACAUGAUGAAGUACAUUGAGACAGAGCUAAAGAAGAGGAAAGGGAUCGUGGAACAUGAGGAACAGAAAGUUAAGCCAAAGAAUGCAGAGGACUGUCUUUAUGAACUUCCAGAAAACAUCCGUGUUUCCUCAGCAAAGA